This 309-nucleotide long non-coding RNA is filed under the name Elaeis guineensis (African oil palm). RNAcentral's name for it is "long non-coding RNA (EGUI_LNC035924)". Lineage: Eukaryota; Viridiplantae; Streptophyta; Magnoliopsida; Arecales; Arecaceae. The record is from RNAcentral.
GAUCCAAGAUGACUUGGAUAUCAAAAUUUAGUAAAUAAUUUUGUAGGUGUAUCAAGAAUCUAAUGAAAUAAAAAGAGAUAAUUUUUAUAAAUGGAUGCCUUGGGAAUGAAGUUGGAUGGAUGAUGAUAUUUGGUAAAAUCUGAAUUUUUUUCCUUCAUCAUGCCAUCAUCAUUUGCUGAAUAUAUUUUGAUUAAUUAAUUAAUUUUGAUGAUUUAUUAGUACUUACAAUGUUUAUAUUCCAUGAUUUGAAUAUUUGGACAUAUUGAUUUUACAUUAAAUUCAAAAUUUACAUGUCUUCUUCUAUGAAUC